GCUGGGUAUGGAGGUGCAUGCCUGUAAUCCCAGUUACUGCAGAAGCUGAGGCAGGAGGAUUGCAAGUUCCAGGUCAGAAUGGGCAAUUUAGUGAGGCCCAGUCUCAU
This 107-nucleotide small RNA is filed under the name Marmota monax (woodchuck). The record is from RNAcentral. Lineage: Eukaryota; Metazoa; Chordata; Mammalia; Rodentia; Sciuridae.